This 497-nucleotide ribosomal RNA is filed under the name uncultured bacterium. RNAcentral describes it as "partial 16S ribosomal RNA". It matches the Rfam family "Bacterial small subunit ribosomal RNA", at positions 28 to 507 of the family's 1533-position model. The record is from RNAcentral.
GAUGAACGCUGGCGGCGUGCCUAAUACAUGCAAGUCGAGCGAACAGACGAGGAGCUUGCUCCUCUGACGUUAGCGGCUGACGGGUGAGUAACACGUGGAUAACCUACCUAUAAGACUGGGAUAACUUCGGGAAACCGGAGCUAAUACCGGAUAAUAUAUUGAACCGCAUGGUUCAAUAGUGCUAGACGGUUUUGCUGUCACUUAUAGAUGGAUCCGCGCCGCAUUAGCUAGUUGGUAAGGUAACGGCUUACCAAGGCAACGAUGCGUAGCCGACCUGAGAGGGUGAUCAGCCACACUGGAACUGAGACACGGUCCAGACUCCUACGGGAGGCAGCAGUAGGGAAUCUUCCGCAAUGGGCGAAAGCCUGACGGAGCAACGCCGCGUGAAUGAUGAAGGUCUUCGGAUCGUAAAACUCUGUUAUUAGGGAAGAACAAAUGUGUAAGUAACUAUGCACGUCUUGACGGUACCUAAUCAGAAAGCCACGGCUAACUACGUG